RNAcentral lists this long non-coding RNA (209 nucleotides) under Elaeis guineensis (African oil palm). Its description in RNAcentral is "long non-coding RNA (EGUI_LNC032183)". The record is from RNAcentral. Lineage: Eukaryota; Viridiplantae; Streptophyta; Magnoliopsida; Arecales; Arecaceae.
UCUUCCUCCUCCAAAUCUCCUCUUGCUUUAGAAUAUCUAUGGUGCUUGAAGAAAAAGGAAGAGAUUAGCUGUCGAAAUUGCUUGCAGGCUAGCACCUCCAAGCCCCUGAUCUGCGCCAAUCUUCAUGUGAAUUUUUUUGUAGAGGCCAGAUGACUUUGUGUGGCUAUGAGUGAUCUAAAGAACACCUUCUCCAACUAUUAGACAAGAGG